This 978-nucleotide ribosomal RNA is filed under the name Cortinarius sp. PDD 101857. Its description in RNAcentral is "eukaryotic LSU rRNA". It matches the Rfam family "Eukaryotic large subunit ribosomal RNA", at positions 1 to 964 of the family's 3401-position model. Lineage: Eukaryota; Fungi; Basidiomycota; Agaricomycetes; Agaricales; Cortinariaceae. The record is from RNAcentral.
GUGACCUCAAAUCAGGUAGGACUACCCGCUGAACUUAAGCAUAUCAAUAAGCGGAGGAAAAGAAACUAACAAGGAUUCCCCUAGUAACUGCGAGUGAAGCGGGAAAAGCUCAAAUUUAAAAUCUGGCAGUCUCUGGCUGUCCGAGUUGUAAUCUAGAGAAGUGUUAUCCGCGCUGGACCGUGUACAAGUCUCCUGGAAUGGAGCAUCAUAGAGGGUGAGAAUCCCGUCUUUGACACGGACUGCCAGGGCUUUGUGAUGCGCUCUCAAAGAGUCGAGUUGUUUGGGAAUGCAGCUCAAAAUGGGUGGUAAAUUCCAUCUAAAGCUAAAUAUUGGCGAGAGACCGAUAGCGAACAAGUACCGUGAGGGAAAGGUGAAAAGAACUUUGGAAAGAGAGUUAAACAGUACGUGAAAUUGCUGAAAGGGAAACGCUUGAAGUCAGUCGCGUUGACCAGGGAUCAACCUUGCUUUUGCUUGGUGUACUUUCUGGUUGACGGGUCAGCAUCAAUUUUGACUAUUGGAAAAAGGUCAAGGGAAUGUGGCAUCUUCGGAUGUGUUAUAGCCCUUGGUUGUAUACAAUGGUUGGGAUUGAGGAACUCAGCACGCCGCAAGGCCGGGUUUUUAACCACGUACGUGCUUAGGAUGCUGGCAUAAUGGCUUUAAUCGACCCGUCUUGAAACACGGACCAAGGAGUCUAACAUGCCUGCGAGUGUUUGGGUGGAAAACCCGAGCGCGUAAUGAAAGUGAAAGUUGAGAUCCUUGUCGUGGGGAGCAUCGACGCCCGGACCAGACCUUUUGUGACGGUUCCGCGGUAGAGCAUGUAUGUUGGGACCCGAAAGAUGGUGAACUAUGCCUGAAUAGGGUGAAGCCAGAGGAAACUCUGGUGGAGGCUCGUAGCGAUUCUGACGUGCAAAUCGAUCGUCAAAUUUGGGUAUAGGGGCGAAAGACUAAUCGAACCAUCUAGUAGCUGGUUCCUGCCGA